CUCUCCUCUUCGUCCAAAAAAAAAGUAAUUUUAAUUUGUUUCAUCCUGACGCUGAAUGGGUGGAAUGUCACUGUUGCUAGGAUACAUCAUCCCGACGACUGGCUGGCUUUCCUUCAAGGCCUGGGAGGAACAGGGAGGGGCGGAUGGAGGAUACUGAGCAGGGAGGAUACCGGGGAAGGGAGUGAACAAGUAUACUGGAAGGGAGAGGGAGCUGGAGGGGGAAGAAGAAAAAAAAAAAGCCUUGGAAGAGGGGGUCUGAAGGGGAAAAGUAAAAAAAAAAAAAAAAGGAAGAGGAAAGGGAAGCGGCAAACGAACCCGUAAGAAGGAAAGCAAAGACAGCGAGAAGGAGGGAGGGAAAGAUGGGGAGAGUGUUUAAAAGGAGGGGAUGGGCGAGCAGAGAGAGGAGAAAACGAGAGAAAGGACAAAAAAAAAAAAAAAGAAAAAAAGAAGGACGCAGCAAUGGGAAACACCUCACGGUGCGUUUGUCAUUAUGUAAUCUGUCUGCCAUCGUCCUUUACCCCCAGACUCCUCCCCCUUGGCAUCGUCCUGGCAACGGGGCCGUCAGACUGAUGUUGCCGGGCCUGACUCCACGGUGAUGCUUUGCAUCAGUGGACACCGAGCACUGUGUUACACCAUAUAAAAGAGCCACUUCAAGGUGCCCUCGACCAUCCUCCCAGCUGACCCGAUGGAGCCGCUCAGCGUCACGCUCUGGUUCUACCUGCAACCCUCUGAUGUGCAGUAACUGUGAUGUGAAAGAUUGCGAGGUCGCCACGGCGGAGAGGAGGUCGCGUGCCUCGGGCCCAGACGUGGCGACGCCUCGGCCUGCUCAGUCGUCCUCCUGGAUCCACACACUUGACAUAUAUCAUACUUUGUAUCAGAUAUUUCUGUCAAUGCACUUUGUAAAUUGUACUUUACUGCAUAAAGCGUGUCCAUUAAAGCGUGUUAACAGAUUUCGCGGAGUGCCACUGCAUACGUGGAAACAGAAAAAGCCUUUUUGUGGCUCCGCAGGAAAGCUGCAUGUGAUCAUAGAAAUUGCCUCGAUUUGUCCAUAAUGAGUCCAGCAGUGUCAUAGGAGUGCAAUGAUGGACCAGUGGACUGCUUCUCAAAACCUGGCAUCCACAAUACCCAUCAGAAACAAUUGAUCAGGUUCCAUGCAGCUUCCUCUGGAGCCACAAAAGGCUGUAUAGUACUUUGUUUUCCACAUAUGCUGUAGUUCUGCCCAAGACCUGCACACACACUUUGAUGUGUACAAUUGGUGGAGUUACCCUUUAAGGCAGGUGCCACUUGGACAAUCUUUUAAGAGCAUGAGGUGGAGAUAAGACACAUAUCCCUGAUGAGACUGCAAAGGUACACAAAAGCACCUUGGAUGACUUUUUUACAUCCUCAAUCCC
Long non-coding RNA from Acanthopagrus latus (yellowfin seabream), 1391 nucleotides. RefSeq lists it as uncharacterized. The record is from RefSeq and is a predicted model, not a curated record. Lineage: Eukaryota; Metazoa; Chordata; Actinopteri; Spariformes; Sparidae. The transcript is spliced from 3 exons.